GGAUUUGUACGGUUGGAUUAGUUUCUGGAAGCCGGAAUCUUUGUGAACUGAGGUCGUUUGGUUGCUGCCGGUUUUGAAGCUUUGUGUUGCUCUCUUGUUGUUGUUGUUUGUGUUGGAGAUAGCUAUUUGUUGCUAGACUCUCUGUUCUGUUCAGGCUGUUGAACAGGGAGGGCGUGGUUGUACUCACAAACAUUUAUAUAGUGGAUUGUUGAGUGGACUACAGUCCCGUGGUUUUUCCUUCUCACAUCGAGGAGGUUUUCCACGUAAAAAUUGUGUGUCUCAUUUAGUUCGCAACUUUGAUAUCUUGCCAUCGUCGAAGUAUUUUCCUCACAGGU
Molecule: long non-coding RNA, 335 nt
Filed under: Brassica napus (rape)
Lineage: Eukaryota; Viridiplantae; Streptophyta; Magnoliopsida; Brassicales; Brassicaceae
Description: long non-coding RNA (BNAP_LNC017549)
Source: RNAcentral